ACAAUGGUUCCUUUUGGAACCAAAUUUUCUUGAUUAUAAUUUUUUU
Cephalotus follicularis is the source of this 46-nucleotide non-coding RNA. Lineage: Eukaryota; Viridiplantae; Streptophyta; Magnoliopsida; Oxalidales; Cephalotaceae. The record is from Rfam.